RNAcentral lists this ribosomal RNA (253 nucleotides) under uncultured bacterium. RNAcentral describes it as "partial 16S ribosomal RNA". It matches the Rfam family "Bacterial small subunit ribosomal RNA", at positions 524 to 776 of the family's 1533-position model. The record is from RNAcentral.
UACGUAGGAGACGAGCGUUGUCCGGAAUUACUGGGCGUAAAGCGCGUGUAGGCGGAUGGGCAAGUCUGCUGUGAAAGCUCCUGGCUUAACCGGGAGUGGUCGGUGGAAACUGCCAAUCUGGAGGACGGUAGAGGUAGGUAGAAUUCCCGGUGUAGUGGUGAAAUGCGUAGAGAUCGGGAGGAAUACCUGUGGCGAAGGCGGCCUACUGGGCCGGACCUGACGCUGAGACGCGAAGGCGUGGGGAGCGAACGGG